UCAGGACGAACGCUGGCGGCGUGCUUAACACAUGCAAGUCGAGCGAUGAAGCUUCUUCGGAAGUGGAUUAGCGGCGGACGGGUGAGUAACACGUGGGUAACCUGCCUCAUAGAGGGGAAUAGCCUUCCGAAAGGAAGAUUAAUACCGCAUAAGAUUGUAAUAUCGCAUGAUAUAGCAAUUAAAGGAGUAAUCCGCUAUGAGAUGGACCCGCGUCGCAUUAGCUAGUUGGUGAGGUAACGGCUCACCAAGGCGACGAUGCGUAGCCGACCUGAGAGGGUGAUCGGCCACAUUGGGACUGAGACACGGCCCAGACUCCUACGGGAGGCAGCAGUGGGGAAUAUUGCACAAUGGGGGAAACCCUGAUGCAGCCAACGCCGCGUGAGUGAUGACGGUCUUCGGAUUGUAAAGCUCUGUCUUCAGGGACGAUAAUGACGGUACCUGAGGAGGAAGCCACGGCUAACUACGUGCCAGCCGCUGC
This 478-nucleotide ribosomal RNA is filed under the name uncultured bacterium. RNAcentral's name for it is "bacterial SSU rRNA". It matches the Rfam family "Bacterial small subunit ribosomal RNA", at positions 24 to 518 of the family's 1533-position model. The record is from RNAcentral.